Molecule: ribosomal RNA, 442 nt
Filed under: uncultured bacterium
Lineage: Bacteria
Description: partial 16S ribosomal RNA
Rfam family: Bacterial small subunit ribosomal RNA
Source: RNAcentral
CCUACGGGAGGCAGCAGUGGGGAAUAUUGCGCAAUGGGGGCAACCCUGACGCAGCAACGCCGCGUGAUUGAAGAAGGCCUUCGGGAUGUAAAGAUCUUUAAUCGGGGACGAAUUUUGACGGUUCCCGAAGAAUAAGCUCCGGCUAACUACGUGCCAGCAGCCGCGGUAAUACGUAGGGAGCAAGCGUUAUCCGGAUUUACUGGGUGUAAAGGGCGUGUAGGCGGGCAUGCAAGCCAGAAGUGAAAUCUGGUGGGUCAACCAUUCAGACUAUUAGCUAAACUGUUAAGCUCGAGAGCGUUAGGGGUAACUGGAAUUUCUAGUGUAGGAGUGAAAUCCGUAGAUAUUAGAAAGAACACCGAUAGCGUAGGCAGGUUACUGGGACGGUUCUGACACUAAGGCACGAAAGCGUAGGGAGCAAACGGGAUUAGAUACCCGGGUAGUC